This 879-nucleotide ribosomal RNA is filed under the name Blackwellomyces sp. Its description in RNAcentral is "partial large subunit ribosomal RNA". It matches the Rfam family "Eukaryotic large subunit ribosomal RNA", at positions 50 to 964 of the family's 3401-position model. Lineage: Eukaryota; Fungi; Ascomycota; Sordariomycetes; Hypocreales; Cordycipitaceae. The record is from RNAcentral.
CCGGGGGUAGACCAACAGGGAUUGCCCCAGUAACGGCGAGUGAAGCGGCAACAGCUCAAAUUUGAAAUCUGGUCCCCAGGGCCCGAGUUGUAAUUUGUAGAGGAUGCUUUUGGCGCGGCGCCUUCCGAGUUCCCUGGAACGGGACGCCAUAGAGGGUGAGAGCCCCGUCUGGUCGGAUGCCUAGCCUCUGUAAAGCUCCUUCGACGAGUCGAGUAGUUUGGGAAUGCUGCUCAAAAUGGGAGGUAUAUGUCUUCUAAAGCUAAAUAUUGGCCAGAGACCGAUAGCGCACAAGUAGAGUGAUCGAAAGAUGAAAAGCACUUUGAAAAGAGGGUUAAAAAGUACGUGAAAUUGUUGAAAGGGAAGCGCCUAUGACCAGACUUGGGCCCGGUGAAUCAUCCAGCGUUCUCGCUGGUGCACUUUGCCGGGCACAGGCCAGCAUCAGUUUGGCGCGGGGGAUAAAGGCUUUGGGAAUGUGGCUCCCCCGGGAGUGUUAUAGCCCACUGCGCAAUACCCUGCGCCGGACUGAGGUACGCGCAUCGCAAGGAUGCUGGCGUAAUGGUCAUCAGCGACCCGUCUUGAAACACGGACCAAGGAGUCGUCUUCGUAUGCGAGUGUUCGGGUGUCAAACCCCUACGCGUAAUGAAAGUGAACGCAGGUGAGAGCUUCGGCGCAUCAUCGACCGAUCCUGAUGUUCUCGGAUGGAUUUGAGUAAGAGCAUACGGGGCCGGACCCGAAAGAAGGUGAACUAUGCCUGUAUAGGGUGAAGCCAGAGGAAACUCUGGUGGAGGCUCGCAGCGGUUCUGACGUGCGAAUCGAUCGUCAAAUAUGGGCAUGGGGGCGAAAGACUAAUCGAACCUUCUAGUAGCUGGUUCCGCGUGU